Molecule: long non-coding RNA, 332 nt
Organism: Capsicum annuum
Lineage: Eukaryota; Viridiplantae; Streptophyta; Magnoliopsida; Solanales; Solanaceae
Exons: 2
Source: RefSeq, a predicted model, not a curated record
AUCAAUUUCAAUAAGGAUGACGAAGUUUUUAAGCCAUGUUAUUUGUUUUUUCCUCGUUUUUUCAGUUUUGACAAUCACUCAGAUAAAUGCUCAAUGUGAUGUACAAUUGCAUGAACCGCCAUGUCUUGCUGCUGAAUGUGAAAAAGAAUGUAGACAAAAAUACGAUGGAGCUGGAAAUUGCAUUGGUAGUGUUGAAACUGGCCCAUGUGUCUGUUUCUACCCAUGCAACUCCAAUUAAUUAUAUUAUACACCCUUUUAAUGUACCUAUGAUCAAACGCAAAUAUUACUGUUUUAAUUAAGAAUUGAGUAUCAAUAAAUAUUAUAUUCUAUGA